AAAGCAUGCUUGCUACAAAGGCUGGAAACAUUAAUAAGGGAUUAUGGGCAUGAUGUUUAUAUCAAUAUGCUUUGAGUUCUGGCUUUCAUAAGUGAUUAAAAUGAGGAAUUGUUUAGUCAAUAAUUUACAAUCUGGAGGAAGUAUUCCUCUUUGAUCUCAUUAGCUUUGUGAUCAAACUGAACCAAGAAUAGGUCAAAAUCAGAUUUUAAUACAGGUUGGCAGAUGGCACAAAGAUACGAAAAUAAAUGCAGACAUUAUG
RNAcentral lists this long non-coding RNA (259 nucleotides) under Bos taurus (domestic cattle). Its description in RNAcentral is "long non-coding RNA NONBTAT023041". Lineage: Eukaryota; Metazoa; Chordata; Mammalia; Artiodactyla; Bovidae. The record is from RNAcentral.